This is a long non-coding RNA of Gordionus sp. m RMFG-2023, 479 nucleotides long. RefSeq lists it as uncharacterized. The transcript is spliced from 3 exons. The record is from RefSeq and is a predicted model, not a curated record. NCBI's taxonomy places the organism in Eukaryota, Metazoa, Nematomorpha, Gordioida, Chordodea, Parachordodidae.
CGAAGAGAUAUUGAUUUUGAGAUAAAUUUUUAAAUAACAGAAAUGGAAACAAUAUUGAUGUUGUACUUUAGACAAAAGAAGAGAGAGAGCAAUGAAAAAGCUAAAGUUGAACAAGUCAAGGAUUCUGAUGAGAAUGCUAUAGCUUGAUUUCGGUAGCAACAAUCCGUAUAAAGACGAAAUAUAUAGUUAAAGGCUAUAAUAACAAUUUAAGUUAAAUAAAAAAUCAAUCAAUCAACAUUCCCCUUCUUCUGAAAAGCAUUCCCACAAUCAAUCUGAGCUGUCAUAGCAAGCUUGUCGUCCAAAUGAUUUAUCAUUUUGAUUGUCAAGUUGUUGCAUAUGUCGUCUUAAUCGUUGGCUUGUUUAAACUGUAAGCUUCAUAUCUCAAUGGUUAUUAUUAUCAAUUUUUUAAAAUUGUUAUUAUCAUUAUUUGUUAUUAAAUAUAUAUGAAGAUUUUGAAUGAUAGAAUGUAGAUAUUUUUG